Molecule: ribosomal RNA, 465 nt
Filed under: uncultured bacterium
Lineage: Bacteria
Description: partial 16S ribosomal RNA
Rfam family: Bacterial small subunit ribosomal RNA
Source: RNAcentral
AAUGAACGUUGGCGGCGUGGAUUAGGCAUGCAAGUCGAGCGAGAACCCCGCAAGGGGGGACAGCGGCGAAAGGGACAGUAAUGUGUAGAUUAUCUGCCCUCAGGUCCGGGAUAGCUGCGGGAAACUGCAGGUAAUACCGGAUAACAUCUCCGGAUCAAAGGUGUGAUUCCGCCUGAGGAUGAGUCUGCAUCCUAUUAGCUAGUUGGUGGGGUAAUGGCCUACCAAGGCAUUGAUGGGUAGCAGGUGUGAGAGCACGACCUGCGUCAUUGGGACUGAGACACUGCCAAGACAACUACGGGUGGCUGCAGUCGAGAAUCGUCGGCAAUGGGCGCAAGCCUGACCGAGCGACGCCGCGUGUGGGAUGAAGGCCUUCGGGUUGUAAACCACUGUCAGAGGGGAUGAAAUGCAGGUGGGUUCUCCCAUCUGUUUGACAUAGCCUCAGAGGAAGGACGGGCUAAGUUCGUG